GGAAGAAGCAUUUGUUAGAACAAGCACUUUGGACAGAGAGCGCACCGGGAGGCCCACAGUGCUGAGCCAGGCGAUAGAGGUAGAUAACUCCUUUGAUGAAGACUGACAACUCUUCAAAUACAAUAAGCUACAGUGUUACCAGUGUCUUAGAUACGUGUCCCGCGCGCGACUUCCCACCGUCAAGAAGCACGCGGACAUUUAGAAAUCCUUACUGUGACCAACCUUUUUAAUCUUAGAAGAGGAAGCCCCGCCGCACCAACAUGGAGCGCUUAUAAAACCCUAGUGCAGCGCACCCACA
Molecule: long non-coding RNA, 298 nt
Filed under: Rattus norvegicus (Norway rat)
Lineage: Eukaryota; Metazoa; Chordata; Mammalia; Rodentia; Muridae
Description: long non-coding RNA NONRATT022028
Source: RNAcentral